AGUGAACGCUGGCGGUAGGCCUAACACAUGCAAGUCGAACGGCAGCACAGUAAGAGCUUGCUCUUACGGGUGGCGAGUGGCGGACGGGUGAGGAAUACAUCGGAAUCUACUUUUUCGUGGGGGAUAACGUAGGGAAACUUACGCUAAUACCGCAUACGACCUACGGGUGAAAGCAGGGGAUCUUCGGACCUUGCGCGAUUGAAUGAGCCGAUGUCGGAUUAGCUAGUUGGCGGGGUAAAGGCCCACCAAGGCGACGAUCCGUAGCUGGUCUGAGAGGAUGAUCAGCCACACUGGAACUGAGACACAGUCCAGACUCCUACGGGAGGCAGCAGUGGGGAAUAUUGGACAAUGGGCGCAAGCCUGAUCCAGCCAUACCGCGUGAGUGAAGAAGGCCUUCGGGUUGUAAAGCCCUUUUGUUGGGAAAGAAAAGCAGCAGGUUAAUACCCCGCUGUUCUGACGGUACCCAAAGAAUAAGCACCGGCUAACUUCGUG
This 492-nucleotide ribosomal RNA is filed under the name uncultured bacterium. RNAcentral describes it as "partial 16S ribosomal RNA". It matches the Rfam family "Bacterial small subunit ribosomal RNA", at positions 29 to 507 of the family's 1533-position model. The record is from RNAcentral.